Molecule: non-coding RNA, 90 nt
Filed under: Methyloversatilis sp. RAC08
Lineage: Bacteria; Pseudomonadati; Pseudomonadota; Betaproteobacteria; Nitrosomonadales; Sterolibacteriaceae
Also listed under: 1 other name
Description: c-di-GMP-I riboswitch aptamer
Rfam family: c-di-GMP-I riboswitch aptamer
About the family: GEMM was predicted in a large-scale screen for bacterial structured RNA regulatory elements. Genes associated with GEMM are involved in a diverse array of functions, including chemotaxis regulation, signal transduction, secretion and chitin.
Source: Rfam by way of RNAcentral
AUCUGAAAAAGGCAAGCCCGCGCGAAAGCCGGGUACGCAAAGUUACCGGUCUAAUCCGUGCUCGCACGGGAUGACAGCGGGACCGCCAGU